AUACGUAGGUGACAAGCGUUAUCCGGAUUUACUGGGCGUAAAGGGCGUGUAGGCGGUCUUGCAAGUCAGAAGUGAAAUUCCUGAGCUCAACUCGGGCGCUGCUUCUGAAACUGCAGGACUUGAGUGCUGGAGGGGAUAGCGGAAUUCCUAGUGGAGCGGUAAAAUGCGCAGAUAUUAGGAGGAACAUCGGUGGCGAAGGCGGCUUUCUGGGCCUUUACUGGCGGUGAGGCACGAAAGCGUGGGGAGCAAACAGGAUUAGAUUCCCUGGUAGUCCACGCUGUAAACGAUGAUGACUAGGUGUGGGGGGACUGAACCCUUCCGUGCCGCAGUUAACACAAUAAGUCAUCCACCUGGGGAGUACGGCCGCAAGGUUGAAACUCAAAUGAAUUGACGGGG
Molecule: ribosomal RNA, 396 nt
Filed under: uncultured bacterium
Lineage: Bacteria
Description: partial 16S ribosomal RNA
Rfam family: Bacterial small subunit ribosomal RNA
Source: RNAcentral